Molecule: ribosomal RNA, 1169 nt
Filed under: Cupriavidus basilensis
Lineage: Bacteria; Pseudomonadati; Pseudomonadota; Betaproteobacteria; Burkholderiales; Burkholderiaceae
Description: partial 23S ribosomal RNA
Rfam family: Bacterial large subunit ribosomal RNA
Source: RNAcentral
GUUAUAGGGUCAAGCGAACAAGUGCAUGUGGUGGAUGCCUUGGCGAUCACAGGCGAUGAAGGACGCGGUAGCCUGCGAAAAGCUUCGGGGAGCUGGCAAACAAGCUUUGAUCCGGAGAUGUCCGAAUGGGGAAACCCGGCCCGAAUGGGUCAUCCCUGACUGAAUACAUAGGUCAGGGAAGCGAACGCGGCGAACUGAAACAUCUAAGUAGCUGCAGGAACAGAAAUCAACCGAGAUUCCCAGAGUAGUGGCGAACGAAAUGGGAAGAGCCUUGUACUCUUUAGCAGCAUUGUUAGCAGAACGGGAUGGAAAGCCCGGCCAUAGCAGGUGAUAGCCCUGUAUGCGAAAACAGCGUUGUGGAACUAGGUGUACGACAAGUAGGGCGGGACACGUGAAAUCCUGUCUGAAGAUGGGGGGACCAUCCUCCAAGGCUAAAUACUCGUGAUCGACCGAUAGUGAACCAGUACCGUGAGGGAAAGGCGAAAAGAACCCCGGGAGGGGAGUGAAAUAGAUCCUGAAACCGCAUGCAUACAAACAGUCGGAGCCUGGAAACGGGUGACGGCGUACCUUUUGUAUAAUGGGUCAGCGACUUACAUUCAGUGGCAAGCUUAACCGAUUAGGGAAGGCGUAGCGAAAGCGAGUCCGAAUAGGGCGUUCAGUCGCUGGGUGUAGACCCGAAACCAGACGAUCUAUCCAUGGCCAGGUUGAAGGUGCGGUAACACGUACUGGAGGACCGAACCCACUAACGUUGAAAAGUUAGGGGAUGAGCUGUGGAUAGGGGUGAAAGGCUAAACAAGUCUGGAAAUAGCUGGUUCUCUCCGAAAACUAUUUAGGUAGUGCCUCGUGUCUCACCUUCGGGGGUAGAGCACUGUCAUGGUUGGGGGGUCUAUUGCUGAUUACCCCGCCAUAGCAAACUCCGAAUACCGAAGAGUGCAAUCACGGGAGACAGACAUCGGGUGCUAACGUCCGGUGUCAAGAGGGAAACAACCCAGACCGCCAGCUAAGGUCCCUAAGAUUGGCUAAGUGGGAAACGAAGUGGGAAGGCUAAAACAGUCAGGAGGUUGGCUUAGAAGCAGCCAUCCUUUAAAGAAAGCGUAAUAGCUCACUGAUCGAGUCGUCCUGCGCGGAAGAUGUAACGGGGCUAAGCCAGUCACCGAAGCUGCGGAUGC